CCUACGGGGGGCUGCAGUGAGGAAUAUUGGUCAAUGGGCGGGAGCCUGAACCAGCCAAGUCGCGUGAGGGAAGACGGUCCUAUGGAUUGUAAACCUCUUUAGGCGGGGAGCAAUGCCGGGCACGCGUGCCCGGAGGGAGAGUACCCGCAGAAUAAGCAUCGGCUAACUCCGUGCCAGCAGCCGCGGUAAUACGGAGGAUGCGCGCGUUAUCCGGAGUUAUUGGGUUUAAAGGGUGCGUAGGCGGAUUUUUAAGUCAGCGGUAAAAUGUCCGGGCUCAACCCGGGCCGGCCGUUGAAACUGGGGAUCUUGAGUGGGCGAGAAGUAGGCGGAAUGCGUGGUGUAGCGGUGAAAGGCAUAGAUAUCACGCAGAACUCCGAUUGCGAAGGCAGCAUACCGGCGCCCGACUGACGCUGAGGCACGAAAGCGUGGGGAGCGAACAGGAUUAGAUACCCUUGUAGUC
Molecule: ribosomal RNA, 460 nt
Filed under: uncultured bacterium
Lineage: Bacteria
Description: partial 16S ribosomal RNA
Rfam family: Bacterial small subunit ribosomal RNA
Source: RNAcentral